Long non-coding RNA from Equus asinus (donkey), 2822 nucleotides. Lineage: Eukaryota; Metazoa; Chordata; Mammalia; Perissodactyla; Equidae. The record is from Ensembl.
UUCUCUCCCUCACCUGCUUCUUUCAUCAUCUAGAGAUUCAUGGGGACGGAGGAGGCCAGAAAUUCAGUACAUCUCCAGACAAUUACGACGACAUCACUGGGAUUCGCGUGUCUACAGGUGGUUGGGGUGUGAUUAAGAGGUAAGAGCUGGUCCAUGAGUUCUAUGGCUUAUCCCACUCAUGCCAAGUCUCAGGGUCGUGGGGAGGGGGCUUAGCAUCUCUUCUCCCAACCCCCCGCUGGGUCCUGAUGACUCUUUGAGGCCAGUUGGGUCCUUGGAGUCAUGGAGCCACCAGCCAUCACCUUUCCCUUUGUCCCUUUUCCUCAGCCGCCUCCUCUCCUGCACACCAGAACUAUCAGUCCAGGUUAGGUCAGAGAGGAAAGGAAGUGAGGGUCAGAGUGGACCACUGACUGAACACAAGUCACCACAAGUGUGUAGAGGCACAAAGCCCAAGGCUGCUCCCCUAAUGUUGGGGUGGUGUCCUUGCUCAAGGCCUGGGGCAGAUCUUGGCUCUGCGCUGAUGGGGUCCCGGGGACCUGUGAGAGGGAGUAGGACAGAGCAGCCAGCACCAAAGGGGACAGAGUGUGUACCGGGUGAGGUGAGGAGGGGAGGCCAUGGGAGAGUCACAAAAGUGGGGCAAGGUCACAGUGAAGGCCAGAUGGGUGGAGCUAGUGGGACUCCCAAGGUAAGUGUGGGAAGUCAUCUGCUUCUCAGAACUGUGACCUGGGCAACCUCACUCGGGCUCAGAAAGCCCAAGCUGGGCCCGAGGACAGCUCCCAGCUCUGAGCGAUGACAGAGUCACCUCCUGAGGGUCAGCAUGACUGGGCACUGAUCCAAGCUCUCCUUUCGGAUGAUCCUGAGUGUUCCAACGGUUACUUCCACUUGGCAAAUGAAGAAACUGAGGCCCAGAGAGGCUGGAUAACAAGCCCAAGAUCACAGAGCCCGAAGGUGGCAGAGCAGGGGUUUGAGCCCAGCAUGUCUGUAUCAGCACCCAGAUUCACGUGCUCAGUGACUCAUGCUGCAGUGACAGCCCUGCUCUCUGGGUUCCAUUGAGGGUUGGCUCAGCGACAGAGGUGUGGGGAGUGGUGAGUCACCUGGGUCCUAGCCAUUCAAAGCUCCCCCUUUCUCCCAGCAUCCAGCUGAGAUAUGGAUCCUCCUGGAGAGAAAGAUUUGGUCCCAAAGGUGGGAAGAUGGAGGAAUUCCUCCUGCAGCCAGGCGAACAAAUUCUAAUGGUCACCGGCUGGCACACACUUUAUCUCCGGAAGCUGGUCAUAUACACAAACCGUGGGCGCAUGGCCUCAUUUGGGAAGGAAGAGGGCAAAAAAUUCCUUGAAGUCUGCAGCUGGGAGUGGAAGGUGCUCACGGGAAUCUUUGGGACAUAUAAGCGCUAUGGCAUCACGGGCAUCGGCUUUCGGUGGGGUUAUCCUCGAGUGGAUCUGACCACUGUACAAAACAAUACCCACUGGUACCCAGAGAAGUGAGUGCUCCUGGGUCCCCAGGGAUGGGGCACAGGUCACCCUGCUGAGGCCCUCUGACUGGUGGUGGGCUGAUGGCACUGGGGUGUCUAAGUCAGGUCUUGAAUAAGAAUCCACCAAUAAAUGAAGUUCUGCGGGAACAGUGCAUCCAGGCGUGGUCCUUGGGUCUGGGGUACAACCCAAAGCUUCUGAGCGUGUAGAGGAUGAGGCUCCAGGGCUGAGCUCAGAGAUCUGAGCCGUGGGUGAGGCAGGAGGUGGGUCUGACACCUCAGGCCUCCAGGAUUCCACCGAGGAUGCAGGACCUGCCCGUGCAGAUCCUGGGCUGAUCUCAGUCUUUGAGGAUUCCAGGGUCAGGGAUGUCCUGCCCCAAACUCCUCACUCCAAGCCCAUCCAGCUGGCCUCUGCUGGCCCAGGUUCAGGUCCCAUCUCAGGUUCCUUCAAGUAUACAUGUGACCUGGUAUACCCCAUCGGCAGUGCUUGCAACCUUGUCAUAUCAAUUACACUUCAGUUGUUCCAGACACCCUGAAAUCUACACUCAUCACUCCUUCAAAAUUGUGAGUAUUUUAAGACCUGCCUGUUCACGAGCCGAUAACAAGAACACAGGUGUUUGGAGAGCGCGGGCAGGUAGAAACACUUGACCAGCCAUCUGAGGCUGCUUUGCAGGGGGCUCCUUUCUCCCUGUGUGGGGCUGAAGCCACGGGUGGGCAGGGGCCUCUCAUCCCAGCUUGGCAGCUGCUCUGGGAAGCCCAGGGCCAGGUCUGGUGCAUAAUUCCUUUCCUGCCCCUGGCCUCCUAAAAGGGAAUCUGUUUUAAGCACUAGUGAUUCUUGACCCCCUUCUCAGGCGCCCACCUCUCUUGGGGCUGGCAGCUGCCAGGGGCGACCCUGCCUCCCGAUGCCUCCUGGGGUGGAAACAAGCAGGGUCAGAAAUGGGACAACGUUGACUUGAAGAGUGACAGCAUGAUCCCCACAGCAGUCACUGCCUUGUCAGUGGAUCAGAUAGGAUGAGAGGAGGGGGAGGGGGUAGGAGGGAAAAAGGAAGGGGAGGAGGAGGAGGAGCAUGGCUCCAGCUCAGGCGCUCUUGUGCAGACUAACGGCAAAGCAGUCUGUCGCCCAGCGGAUCCUUCCUUGUGACACAGUUCUCGGGACUUCCUUCAUGGCUUCCACGCAAACCCUGAGGGCAUCCUCCCUAUGGAGCCCUGCUGGGGACCCUGGAAACAGGCGGUGGUGGAGACGCUGCACCUGUUCUCUGUACCCCGGGACUGUCGAUGCAAUCCUCGCCUAGUGCACUCCAAGGGCCAGAACUGUUACGGGGGCGGGGGAGCGGGGCAUAGGGGAGCUGGUGCGCCCGGC